Long non-coding RNA from Odocoileus virginianus texanus, 443 nucleotides. RefSeq lists it as uncharacterized. Lineage: Eukaryota; Metazoa; Chordata; Mammalia; Artiodactyla; Cervidae. The record is from RefSeq and is a predicted model, not a curated record.
UUCCUGAUUCUGGAGGGAGGCACUGAGUAGGCUCUACAGGAGCCAUACUGUCCAAGCUCCGAUCUUCCUCUUCCAGAUCAAAUCCUUGGUGUCUCACUGUCAAGACAGCUCUAAGGGAGAAAUUGCUGUCCCGUGCGCCUUUGGGAUUCUCUGGGUACCCAGAAGUCCUCCUGAACUCUACCCUCUCCCCAUUUCUGCAGCAUCUCCCUUUGUUCAGCUUCCAGUGGAGAUGCAGACAGUUCCCUUCUCUGUGUUCCUGUCUGGUGGCAGAUCAUGCCAGUCUGUCCAGCUGGACUCUGCAGGAAGAGGAGGCAGCACCUUUCUAUACCCAGGAUGGAGCCAUGCUGAGCCACACAGGAACGCUGAGAUGGGAGACAACAGAAAAAGACAGAGAAACAGCAAUGGAAAUGAAAACUGUUGAUCUGUGUGGGGCCUCCACAGAA